UGCGUAGGUGGUCAGGUAAGUCGGAUGUGAAAUCUCGGAGCUCAACUCCGAAACGGCAUUGGAAACUACCUGGCUGGAGGAAUGGAGGGGGGACUGGAAUUCUUGGUGUAGCAGUGAAAUGCGUAGAUAUCAAGAGGAACACCAGUGGCGAAGGCGAGUCCCUGGACAUCUCCUGACACUGAGGCACGAAAGCUAGGGGAGCAAACA
RNAcentral lists this ribosomal RNA (207 nucleotides) under uncultured bacterium. RNAcentral describes it as "partial 16S ribosomal RNA". It matches the Rfam family "Bacterial small subunit ribosomal RNA", at positions 568 to 774 of the family's 1533-position model. The record is from RNAcentral.